This 346-nucleotide ribosomal RNA is filed under the name uncultured bacterium. RNAcentral describes it as "partial 16S ribosomal RNA". It matches the Rfam family "Bacterial small subunit ribosomal RNA", at positions 338 to 681 of the family's 1533-position model. The record is from RNAcentral.
CCUACGGGUGGCAGCAGUGAGGAAUAUUGGUCAAUGGACGGAAGUCUGAACCAGCCAUGCCGCGUGCAGGAAGACGGCCCUAUGAGUUGUAAACUGCUUUUGUACAAGGGAAAAGCUGAAUACGUGUAUUCAGCUGAAAGUACUGUACGAAUAAGGAUCGGCUAACUCCGUGCCAGCAGCCGCGGUAAUACGGAGGAGCCAAGCUUUAUCCGGAUUUAUUGGGUUGAAAGGGGGCGUAGGUGGAUUGAUAAGUUCGAGGUGAAAGGUCCGCGCUUAACUCGGGAACUGCCUCUCAUACUGUUGAUCUAGAGUGUAGUUGCGGUAGGCGGAAUGUCUGGUGUAGCGG